UGCAAAUGAUGCUUUCUCACGAUGGUCUUCGUAGCUCACAAGGCUUUGACGAAAAUGCCGCAAGGCAUAACUGAUGCAACUCU
This is a small nucleolar RNA of Gadus morhua (Atlantic cod), 83 nucleotides long. Ensembl annotates it as small nucleolar RNA SNORD35. The record is from Ensembl. Lineage: Eukaryota; Metazoa; Chordata; Actinopteri; Gadiformes; Gadidae.